AGGCAGGGAGAACGUAUUGCUGAAAUAAUGUUAUGAAGCCUAACAUCCCCACAUCCUGGAGAGCUGAGAUCACACAUCAAAUCAAGUUUUAUUAGUCACAUGUGCUGAAUACAACAGAUGUAGUAGACCUUACAGUGAAAUGCUGAAUACAACAGGUGUAGGUACAACUUACAGGUAGAUGGGGAGACAAGGAGAGGGUAGAUGGGGAGACAAGGAGAGGGUAGAUGGGGAGACAAGGGGAGGGUAGAUGGGGAGACAAGGAGAGGGUAGAUGGGGAGACAAGGAGAGGGUAGAUGGGGAGACAAGGGGAGGUAGAUGGGGAGACAAGGAGAGGGUAGAUGGGGAGACAAGGAGA
Molecule: long non-coding RNA, 355 nt
Organism: Oncorhynchus tshawytscha (Chinook salmon)
Lineage: Eukaryota; Metazoa; Chordata; Actinopteri; Salmoniformes; Salmonidae
Source: Ensembl